CCUACGGGUGGCAGCAGUGAGGAAUAUUGGUCAAUGGACGAGAGUCUGAACCAGCCAAGUAGCGUGAAGGAUGACUGCCCUAUGGGUUGUAAACUUCUUUUAUAUGGGAAUAAAACGUUCCACGUGUGGGAUUUUGUAUGUACCAUAUGAAUAAGGAUCGGCUAACUCCGUGCCAGCAGCCGCGGUAAUACGGAGGAUCCGAGCGUUAUCCGGAUUUAUUGGGUUUAAAGGGAUCGGAGGUGGAUUGUUAAGUCAGUUGUGAAAGUUUGCGGCUCAACCGUAAAAUUGCAGUUGAAACUGGCAGUCUUGAGUACAGUAGAGGUGGGCGGAAUUCGUGGUGUAGCGGUGAAAUGCUUAGAUAUCACGAAGAACUCCGAUUGCGAAGGCAGUUCACUGGACUGCAACUGACACUGAGGCUCGAAAGUGUGGGUAUCAAACAGGAUUAGAUACCCCUGUAGUC
Molecule: ribosomal RNA, 460 nt
Filed under: uncultured bacterium
Lineage: Bacteria
Description: partial 16S ribosomal RNA
Rfam family: Bacterial small subunit ribosomal RNA
Source: RNAcentral